RNAcentral lists this long non-coding RNA (254 nucleotides) under Hordeum vulgare. RNAcentral's name for it is "long non-coding RNA (HVUL_LNC016929)". Lineage: Eukaryota; Viridiplantae; Streptophyta; Magnoliopsida; Poales; Poaceae. The record is from RNAcentral.
UGGGUUUGUGUACCGGCGAAAAUUGCGCGGCACUAGAGAGGCUAGGAAUGGUGGAAGGUGAAAGUGCAUCUAUACCAUGGACUCACAUUAGUCAUGAAGAACUCACAUACUUGUUACGAAAGUUUUUAUUAGUAAUCGAAACAAAGUGCUAAACGUAUACUCCUAGGGGAAGGGUUGGUAGGUGUUAACCAUCGCGCGAUCACGACCUCAACACAAAGGUUGACAAUCAAUAGAUCAAUUAUGCUCCGACUGCC